AGUUCGUAUAUGACUCCAGUCCUGGCGCUGGAUGCUGCUGCUGUUCCAGCUUCCUAGGUGUGGAAACUGAAGGACCAAGAGAUUAAACAUAAGUCAUUUCCCCUAUUCUGAGACUCCGUUUCCCCGUCUGUAAGGUGGAAAGAAUAGUAUCUGUUUCAUAGGAUCACGUGGUGCAAAAGUGGUAAGAAUUCAGCAUUCUCCUCGACAAGUGGACGAGCAUCUACUGUGCUUUCACAGCGGCUAUCACUAUUGCCAGCAGCAAGACUGUCAGCUCGGCGCCCUCGUCUGGUUGGAUGGGAAACUGCAGUUGCUAAGGGAGCUGGGUUGGAAUCUCUGAGGACAAAUGGGAAUUCUCACUGAUUUCUAGGACUACCCUGGGGCAGAGAUGGAGUUUCAUCACAUUGCCUAGGCUGGUCUCGAAAUCCUGGACUCAAGUGAUCUGCUGGCCUCAGCCUCCCUAACUGCUGGGACUAGAGGCCUGAGCGACCACCCCUGGCUGUAAACAUUUUCUUAGCUCAAGGAUUGCUGAAUUUGUAUCCAUUUUCUUCUCUCCUAUCUCAAUUGGGUGGGUGAAAUGAUACUGUUAAUUAUUUUCUGUUACUUUUGAAUGCUUCUUUGUGGCGAACUGAGGGCAUAGUAAUACUGUAGCAGCUAAGGCACCCUGCACAGCAAUACACACUGAACAAUGUCGAGUUUCUGCUGAAUAGACUUCCUACGUUGCUCUGGAAUUCGAAGUUGGCCUAACUGAGGUCUCCAGUUACAGAAAACACUGGCUCUGUAUCCUGGGCUUUGAGAAAACUUAUCAGGCUGUCACACUUACCAUCCCUUCAGUCUGCUUGUCAGGUUCCUUAAGGACGCAUAUCUCAAAUGUAUGGCAUCUACCUCUACCUGGGUCACAACCAAGUGGGUUUCUACUAGAUCGGUGUUCCUUGACAGCCAACAAGGGAGCUGACACUGCCCUCCUAAGUUCUGAUCUUGCUCCUGUUCAACUGGAACUUGAUGGAUCCCAUGUGGUUUCCCCCAUCCUGACGCUGUGGCUCAGACACUCUCCCUAAGCUGGUCCUUCCCUCCAAAUCCUGCCUUAAACACACUCAGAAGGUAGAAAACACUUCAGCAGCAAAGUCCUCUUCCCAAGCCAACAGUUGUGUUCUUCCAAUCACAUGAUCUUACCUUUUCAAUAAAAGGCAAAACAAACCAAUUUCCAACAUAGCAUUACAGCCUUUAAAACCAUUCACUUCUCAUAGUGAUUCACAGAGAACAAGAGAUUAAAGUGCUGGAUUUUAAAUGUCUAAAGUUGCCUUCAGGGCUACAAAAAGCCCUGCCGUGUGUGUUUUUCCUUCAUGGUGUUGAGGGGAAGGAAAGAUAGGGAAGGGCAGUGGGGAGAAACCCUAAAAUUUUCAAUCAGAAACUGGAAAUUGUAAAAGU
RNAcentral lists this long non-coding RNA (1425 nucleotides) under Homo sapiens (human). Its description in RNAcentral is "HSALNT0003199". The record is from RNAcentral. Lineage: Eukaryota; Metazoa; Chordata; Mammalia; Primates; Hominidae.